This 561-nucleotide ribosomal RNA is filed under the name Scinax ruber (red snouted treefrog). Its description in RNAcentral is "partial large subunit ribosomal RNA". It matches the Rfam family "Bacterial large subunit ribosomal RNA", at positions 1810 to 2575 of the family's 2925-position model. The record is from RNAcentral. Lineage: Eukaryota; Metazoa; Chordata; Amphibia; Anura; Hylidae.
AAAACAUCGCCUCUUGAACAAAAAUAAGAGGUCCAGCCUGCCCAGUGACUAAUGUUCAACGGCCGCGGUAUCCUAACCGUGCGAAGGUAGCGUAAUCACUUGUUCUUUAAAUGAGGACUAGUAUGAAUGGCACCACGAGGGUUAUACUGUCUCCUCUUUCUAAUCAGUGAAACUAAUCCCCCCGUGAAGAAGCGGGGAUUAAACUAUAAGACGAGAAGACCCUAUGGAGCUUUAAAUUUACCCUCAAACGCCAAAAUCAUACAGCAAGUUUUAAACUUCACCACACGAACUUUCGCGCCAUGAGGGCAACUUUUAGGUUGGGGUGACCAUGGAGUAUAAAAUAACCUCCAUACUGAACAGGCCUCCAAGCCUCGAACCAAGAGCCACGACCCGCCGCACUAAAAUAUUAACAUCCAUUGAUCCAAUGUAUUUUGAUCAACGAACCAAGUUACCCUAGGGAUAACAGCGCAAUCUACUUCAAGAGUUCCUAUCGACAAGUGGGUUUACGACCUCGAUGUUGGAUCAGGGUGUCCCAGUGGUGCAGCCGCUACUAAUGGUUCG